GCCUGUGAUGAUUUAAUCCAGCUUGUUGAGGUGUUGUGGAUCCAAGUCCCUGUUUUACAGGGGGAACCUUCUUGGGGAAGCUACAUUCAUAUGACAUUAAUGGAUUUGACUGAGGC
Molecule: small nucleolar RNA, 116 nt
Organism: Neltuma alba
Lineage: Eukaryota; Viridiplantae; Streptophyta; Magnoliopsida; Fabales; Fabaceae
Product: small nucleolar RNA Z278
Exons: 1
Source: RefSeq, a predicted model, not a curated record